AGCAGCCGCGGUAAUUCCAGCUCCAAUAGCGUAUAUUAAAGUUGCCGCAGUUAAAAAGCUCGUAGUUGAAUUUCGGGAUCGAUAUAUCGGUCGUGCCUCGGUACGUACUGGUAUUUUCGGUUUCUCCCUUCUGACGAGCCUUGAUGUCAUUAAUUUGGUGUCUUGGGGAAUCAGGACUGUUACUUUGAAAAAAUUGAGUGUUUAAAGCAGGCUCACGCUUGAAUACAUUAGCAUGGAAUAAUGAAAUAGGACGUUUGAUUCUAUUUUGUUGGUUUCUAGGAUCGACGUAAUGAUUAAUUGGGAUAGUUGGGGGCAUUAGUAUUCAAUUGUCAGAGGUGAAAUUCUUGGAUUUAUUGAAGACUAACUACUGCGAAAGCAUUUGCCAAGGAUGUUUUCAUUAAUCAAGAACGAAAGUUAGGGAUCGAAGACGAUCAGAUACCGUCGUAGUCUUAACCAUAAACUAUGCCGACUAGGGAUCGGAUGAUGUUAAUUUUUANGUACUCAUUCGGCGCCUUACGGA
RNAcentral lists this ribosomal RNA (520 nucleotides) under uncultured Glomus. Its description in RNAcentral is "SSU rRNA". It matches the Rfam family "Eukaryotic small subunit ribosomal RNA", at positions 569 to 1094 of the family's 1831-position model. Lineage: Eukaryota; Fungi; Glomeromycota; Glomeromycetes; Glomerales; Glomeraceae. The record is from RNAcentral.